RNAcentral lists this ribosomal RNA (402 nucleotides) under uncultured bacterium. RNAcentral describes it as "bacterial SSU rRNA". It matches the Rfam family "Bacterial small subunit ribosomal RNA", at positions 355 to 774 of the family's 1533-position model. The record is from RNAcentral.
UAGGGAAUAUUGGUAAUGUGCGAAAGCGCGAACCAGCAACGCCGCGUGCACGAUGAAGGCCUUCGGGUUGUAAAGUGCUUUUAGAGAGGAUGAGGAAGGACAGUACUUUCUGAAUAAGCCUCGGCUAACUACGUGCCAGCAGCCGCGGUAAAACGUAGGAGGCUAGCGUUAUCCGGAUUUACUGGGCGUAAAGCGCGUGCAGGUGGUUUCGUAAGUUGGAUGUGAAAGCUCCUGGCUUAACUGGGAGAGGUCGUUCAAAACUGCGAGGCUUGAGAGUGGUAGAGGGAGGUGGAAUUCCGGGUGUAGUGGUGAAAUGCGUAGAUAUCCGGAGGGACACCUGUGGCGAAAGCGGCCUCCUGGACCAUUUCUGACACUCAGACGCGAAAGCUAAGGUAGCAAACG